RNAcentral lists this ribosomal RNA (580 nucleotides) under uncultured Campylobacterota bacterium. RNAcentral's name for it is "bacterial SSU rRNA". It matches the Rfam family "Bacterial small subunit ribosomal RNA", at positions 510 to 1085 of the family's 1533-position model. The record is from RNAcentral. Lineage: Bacteria; Pseudomonadati; Campylobacterota.
AGCCGCCGCGGUAAUACGGAGGGUGCAAGCGUUACUCGGAAUCACUGGGCGUAAAGAGCGUGUAGGCGGGUAUAUAAGUCAGAAGUGAAAUCCAAUAGCUUAACUAUUGAACUGCUUUUGAAACUGUAUACCUAGAAUGUGGGAGAGGUAGAUGGAAUUUCUGGUGUAGGGGUAAAAUCCGUAGAGAUCAGAAGGAAUACCGAUUGCGAAGGCGAUCUACUGGAACAUUAUUGACGCUGAGACGCGAAAGCGUGGGGAGCAAACAGGAUUAGAUACCCUGGUAGUCCACGCCCUAAACGAUGUACACUAGUUGUUGUGAGGCUCGACCUUGCAGUAAUGCAGUUAACACAUUAAGUGUACCGCCUGGGGAGUACGGUCGCAAGAUUAAAACUCAAAGGAAUAGACGGGGACCCGCACAAGCGGUGGAGCAUGUGGUUUAAUUCGACGAUACACGAAGAACCUUACCUGGACUUGACAUAGUAAGAACUUUCUAGAGAUAGAUUGGUGUCUGCUUGCAGAAACUUAUAUACAGGUGCUGCACGGCUGUCGUCAGCUCGUGUCGUGAGAUGUUGGGUUAAGU